This 1364-nucleotide ribosomal RNA is filed under the name uncultured bacterium. RNAcentral describes it as "bacterial SSU rRNA". It matches the Rfam family "Bacterial small subunit ribosomal RNA". The record is from RNAcentral.
GCCCUUAGAGUUUGAUCCUGGCUCAAGACGAACGCUGGCGGCGCGCCUAACACAUGCAAGUCGAACGAGAGAUGAGGAGCUUGCUCUUCAAAUCGAGUGGCGAACGGGUGAGUAACGCGUGAGGAACCUGCCUCAAAGAGGGGGACAACAGUUGGAAACAACUGCUAAUACCGCAUAAGCCCACAGCUCGGCAUCGAGCAGAGGGAAAAGGAGCAAUCCGCUUUGAGAUGGCCUCGCGUCCGAUUAGCUAGUUGGUGAGGUAACGGCCCACCAAGGCGACGAUCGGUAGCCGGACUGAGAGGUUGAACGGCCACAUUGGGACUGAGACACGGCCCAGACUCCUACGGGAGGCAGCAGUGGGGAAUAUUGCACAAUGGGGGAAACCCUGAUGCAGCGACGCCGCGUGGAGGAAGAAGGUCUUCGGAUUGUAAACUCCUGUUGUUGAGGAAGAUAAUGACGGUACUCAACAAGGAAGUGACGGCUAACUACGUGCCAGCAGCCGCGGUAAAACGUAGGUCACAAGCGUUGUCCGGAAUUACUGGGUGUAAAGGGAGCGCAGGCGGGAGAACAAGUUGGAAGUGAAAUCCAUGGGCUCAACCCAUGAACUGCUUUCAAAACUGUUUUUCUUGAGUAGUGCAGAGGUAGGCGGAAUUCCCGGUGUAGCGGUGGAAUGCGUAGAUAUCGGGAGGAACACCAGUGGCGAAGGCGGCCUACUGGGCACCAACUGACGCUGAGGCUCGAAAGUGUGGGUAGCAAACAGGAUUAGAUACCCUGGUAGUCCACACCGUAAACGAUGAUUACUAGGUGUUGGAGGAUUGACCCCUUCAGUGCCGCAGUUAACACAAUAAGUAAUCCACCUGGGGAGUACGACCGCAAGGUUGAAACUCAAAGGAAUUGACGGGGGCCCGCACAAGCAGUGAAGUAUGUGGUUUAAUUCGACGCAACGCGAAGAAUCUUACCAAGUCUUGACAUCCCUUGACGAUGCUGGAAACAGUAUUUCUCUUCGGAGCAAGGAGACAGGUGGUGCAUGGUUGUCGUCAGCUCGUGUCGUGAGAUGUUGGGUUAAGUCCCGCAACGAGCGCAACCCUUAUGGUCAGUUACUACGCAAGAGGACUCUGGCCAGACUGCCGUUGACAAAACGGAGGAAGGUGGGGAUGACGUCAAAUCAUCAUGCCCUUUAUGACUUGGGCUACACACGUACUACAAUGGCGUUAAACAAAGAGAAGCAAGACCGCGAGGUGGAGCAAAACUCAGAAACAACGUCCCAGUUCGGACUGCAGGCUGCAACUCGCCUGCACGAAGUCGGAAUUGCUAGUAAUCGUGGAUCAGCAUGCCACGGUGAAUACGUUCCCGGGCCUUGCACA